Molecule: long non-coding RNA, 965 nt
Organism: Herpailurus yagouaroundi (jaguarundi)
Lineage: Eukaryota; Metazoa; Chordata; Mammalia; Carnivora; Felidae
Exons: 4
Source: RefSeq, a predicted model, not a curated record
UCUGCUGUAGUGCAUGCUCAUAGCUUAAUUCACAGAAGGUUAGCUGCUAUUCUGCUAAAUGUCUUAUUCUACAUUUCUUUUAUUAUCUGGGUAGUGUCAUUUCCUACCCCACUCUACAAUGUCUAGCCUUGAAAAGAAGUAGUUAUUCAAUAGGCAGGUGCUAGUGCUGAUGGAUGGCUAAAAAAAGAGUUUCUCUCAAGAUAGGUCAUAAUCUAAAAGCAACUGAAUAUGUGUACAUUCCCUUGGUGCUUAUUACCUUGAGGAUGAGAAAGGGUAGACUGUCUUACAAAUGUAAGAGAAUUUAAUGUAACUUUCAUGUUACCUUAGUGAAGUGAAAAUAGACUAAAAUAGUUAAGACAGUGUUCCAAACCCACUGCAGUGAUCCAGAAAUGUAACAAAAGGCAUUAUGAUGUUUGUGGAAGGAGGUGGGGCAUUAUUGUGAUAUUAGAAUAUCUAAGACAUUUCCAUAGUUACCUAUGUGAUCCCAAAUGCAUUUUAAGGCACACGAUUUAAAAAUAUAUCACUAUCUCUAUGCAAAAUGGGAACUGUUAGGAAAUAUAUGCUCUAAAUAGAGCAUUGCUUGUCACAAAGGGAUUUAACUAUUUGUUUGUAGAAAACUGUGUGAAGAAAGCAAAGGAUUCAUGAGCUGUGAAACUGGUCUACAAUAGCAUCUUUGGCAGAAUCAAAGGCCUGCAAAAGAAUAAUUUAAAGGAGAAGAAAGAAAGCAAAGGGAGAGAGGUAUUCGGUAUUCAGGACUAUGGGUGAUCGUCGCUUGGAUGCUUGGUCUCAGGCUGUUGUGUUUGGCAGAUAUCAGUGAUUCUUCAGAAUGUUGGAAGGUGCCCAUAACUGACGCUGGCAAUUAUUACCUCUUGCCUGAGGGUUCAUCAGACUCAAAUGGAGCAAUGUGUAGCCAGUUGUUUUGCUACAGCAACCCAUGGUCUCAGAACAGAAGUGGUGUUUAAAUC